RNAcentral lists this ribosomal RNA (460 nucleotides) under uncultured bacterium. RNAcentral's name for it is "partial 16S ribosomal RNA". It matches the Rfam family "Bacterial small subunit ribosomal RNA", at positions 338 to 795 of the family's 1533-position model. The record is from RNAcentral.
CCUACGGGAGGCAGCAGUGAGGAAUAUUGGUCAAUGGACGCAAGUCUGAACCAGCCAUGCCGCGUGCAGGAAGACGGCUCUAUGAGUUGUAAACUGCUUUUGUACGAGGGUAAACGCAGAUACGUGUAUCUGUCUGAAAGUAUCGUACGAAUAAGGAUCGGCUAACUCCGUGCCAGCAGCCGCGGUAAUACGGAGGAUUCAAGCGUUAUCCGGAUUUAUUGGGUUUAAAGGGUGCGUAGGCGGUUGGAUAAGUUAGAGGUGAAAUCCCGAGGCUCAACUUCGGAAUUGCCUCUGAUACUGUUAGGCUAGAGAGUAGUUGCGGUAGGCGGAAUGUAUGGUGUAGCGGUGAAAUGCUUAGAGAUCAUACAGAACACCGAUUGCGAAGGCAGCUUACCAAGCUACGUCUGACGUUGAGGCACGAAAGCGUGGGGAGCAAACAGGAUUAGAUACCCGGGUAGUC